Molecule: long non-coding RNA, 622 nt
Organism: Zingiber officinale
Lineage: Eukaryota; Viridiplantae; Streptophyta; Magnoliopsida; Zingiberales; Zingiberaceae
Exons: 2
Source: RefSeq, a predicted model, not a curated record
AGCGUGGGCCUUGUACCAGACAAUCACUGAAGGCAAGGCGAGUGAGUCAGACGUAGAUCCAAUUGUGGUAUGGCUAUUUUUGGAGUCACCUUGCUCUUCCAAGUGUCCCCUUUUCAGGCGAUUUGGAAUUAAGAAAGAAGAGACGGCAAUUCUAAGGAUUUUCAUUUCUUCUUUUUCUUCGAUCUCCCGCUCUCCUAUCCAUCUCUCACUUUGGGCGACCUUCCCCGUGAUGCUGGAGUCGGAAGAGAGACGAGGUGAAGCUCCUUCGUACGAUGACAUGGGAAAGAAGGCCUAUAAUGUAAGCCCUACAUGAUCACCAAGUUGAGGGAGAGUUGGACCGAGCAGGAUCACGACACGUUCCUCGAGUGGAGACCUUCCAGGUUCCAGCUGGAAAACCAAAUGGUGUAAAGGGAAAGGGAGGAACUUCUUCAAUGUAUGAUGACGACCUCGAAGAGGAACGACAUAAAUUUAUGAUGACAAAUGACAUAGAUCAGUUAAGCAGGGAGGAAGAAUUGUCUGAUUAACAAACCGGCCAGUGUCAAAACUUUGAAGCAGAUAAAGUAUCAACCUGCAUUGUAUAAUCCUCCUGUUGAGUUAUUGCAUUGCAAAGUAGUUAUUAUUA